Molecule: ribosomal RNA, 492 nt
Filed under: uncultured bacterium
Lineage: Bacteria
Description: partial 16S ribosomal RNA
Rfam family: Bacterial small subunit ribosomal RNA
Source: RNAcentral
CGAACGCUGGCGGCGUGCUUAACACAUGCACAUCGAACGGUGAAGCGCCUUCCUUUUUGGUGGGUGUGGAUGAGUGGCGAACGGGUGAGUAACACGUGAGUAACCUGCCCCCUUCUUCUGGAUAACCGCAUGAAAGUGUGGCUAAUACGGGAUAUUCUGGGUCUGUCGCAUGAUGGGUCUGGGAAAGAUAUUGUUUCGGUGGGGGAUGGGCUCGCGGCCUAUCAGCUUGUUGGUGGGGUGAUGGCCUACCAAGGCGGUGACGGGUAGCCGGCAUGAGAGGGUGGACGGUCACACUGGGACUGAGACACGGCCCAGACUCCUACGGGAGGCAGCAGUGGGGAAUAUUGCACAAUGGGCGCAAGCCUGAUGCAGCGACGCCGCGUGAGGGAUGGAGGCCUUCGGGUUGUGAACCUCUUUCGCCAGUGAAGCAGGCCUGCCUCGUUUGUGGGUGGGUUGACGGUAGCUGGAUAAGAAGCGCCGGCUAACUACGUG